AUUCUGUGAUAAGGGCACUUCCUUAAUAACAACUUAAAACAUUCCCAUGCUUCGUAUAGGUUCUCGCCCUCGAUUUGCUUGAAAUUGGCGAUGUCACGUCUUAAUU
Gossypium hirsutum (cotton) is the source of this 106-nucleotide non-coding RNA. Lineage: Eukaryota; Viridiplantae; Streptophyta; Magnoliopsida; Malvales; Malvaceae. The record is from Rfam.